GUGGGGAAUAUUGCACAAUGGGCGCAAGCCUGAUGCAGCCAUGCCGCGUGUAUGAAGAAGGCCUUCGGGUUGUAAAGUACUUUCAGCGGGGAGGAAGGCGAUAAGGUUAAUAACCUUGUCGAUUGACGUUACCCGCAGAAGAAGCACCGGCUAACUCCGUGCCAGCAGCCGCGGUAAUACGGAGGGUGCAAGCGUUAAUCGGAAUUACUGGGCGUAAAGCGCACGCAGGCGGUCUGUCAAGUCGGAUGUGAAAUCCCCGGGCUCAACCUGGGAACGGCAGUCGAAACUGGCAGGCUAGAGUCUUGUAGAGGGGGGUAGAAUUCCAGGUGUAGCGGUGAAAUGCGUAGAGAUCUGGAGGAAUACCGGUGGCGAAGGCGGCCCCCUGGACAAAGACUGACGCUCAGGUGCGAAAGCGUGGGGAGCAAACAGGAUUAGAAACCCUAGUAGUCC
RNAcentral lists this ribosomal RNA (450 nucleotides) under uncultured bacterium. Its description in RNAcentral is "partial 16S ribosomal RNA". It matches the Rfam family "Bacterial small subunit ribosomal RNA", at positions 354 to 796 of the family's 1533-position model. The record is from RNAcentral.